UGGACUGCGGAGGAUCAUUAUCGAGUUUUGAAGUGGGCUUGAUGCUGGCGUCUUCACGACGCAUGUGCUCAGCCCCGCUCUCAAAUCCACUCUACACCUGUGCACUUUCAAAGUUUGUAGUCCUCCGUAAUGGGAGCCGCAAAUCAUUUAUGGUUUGCUGGGACUGCACUUUGCCCUUUAUCACAAACUAUAUGCAUUGUCUUGUAGAAUGACAAGCCUCUUAGUGGGCGAAACUUAAUACAACUUUCAACAACGGAUCUCUUGGCUCUCGCAUCGAUGAAGAACGCAGCGAAAUGCGAUAAGUAAUGUGAAUUGCAGAAUUCAGUGAAUCAUCGAAUCUUUGAACGCACCUUGCGCUCCUUGGUAUUCCGAGGAGCAUGCCUGUUUGAGUGUCGUGAAAUUAUCAACUCUCUUACUUUAUUGUAAGAUAAGCUUGAACUUGGGAAUUGCUGGCGAAAAUCAGCUUCUCCUGAAUGCAUUACCUGGAAUGAAAUUCGUACCGUAUAUGCGCAAGGGAUAAUGUGCCGCACUGUGCAUGCUCGAAUUGCGCUGGACUUCUAAUUCGUACCUUGCACGUUGACAAUUUCGAUCCAUUAUU
This is a ribosomal RNA of 598 nucleotides. The stretch from base 242 to 395 matches the Rfam family "5.8S ribosomal RNA".